UACGUAGGGUGCAAGCGUUGUCCGGAAUUAUUGGGCGUAAAGAGUUCGUAGGCGGUUUGUCGCGUCCGUUGUGAAAGCCUGGGGCUCAACCCCAGGUCUGCAGUGGAUACGGGCAGGCUAGAGUCAGGUAGGGGAGGACGGAAUUCCUGGUGUAGCGGUGAAAUGCGCAGAUAUCAGGAGGAACACCGGUGGCGAAGGCGGUUCUCUGGGCCUGUACUGACGCUGAGGAACGAAAGCGUGGGGAGCGAACAGG
This 253-nucleotide ribosomal RNA is filed under the name uncultured bacterium. Its description in RNAcentral is "partial 16S ribosomal RNA". It matches the Rfam family "Bacterial small subunit ribosomal RNA", at positions 524 to 776 of the family's 1533-position model. The record is from RNAcentral.